Molecule: ribosomal RNA, 116 nt
Filed under: Enterobacter hormaechei subsp. steigerwaltii
Lineage: Bacteria; Pseudomonadati; Pseudomonadota; Gammaproteobacteria; Enterobacterales; Enterobacteriaceae
Source: RNAcentral
CCUGGCAGCUGUAGCGCGGUGGUCCCACCUGACCCCAUGCCGAACUCAGAAGUGAAACGCCGUAGCGCCGAUGGUAGUGUGGGGUCUCCCCAUGUGAGAGUAGGGAACUGCCAGGC